RNAcentral lists this ribosomal RNA (576 nucleotides) under uncultured Neocallimastigomycetes. RNAcentral describes it as "partial large subunit ribosomal RNA". It matches the Rfam family "Eukaryotic large subunit ribosomal RNA", at positions 204 to 630 of the family's 3401-position model. Lineage: Eukaryota; Fungi; Neocallimastigomycota; Neocallimastigomycetes. The record is from RNAcentral.
CAUAGAGGGUGAGAAUCCCGUAUUUGGUUAUUCUUUCUAGCUUUGUGAUACACUUUCAAAGAGUCGGAUUGUUUGGGAAUGCAGUCCAAAAUGGGUGGUAAAUUUCAUCUAAAGCUAAAUAUUGGCGAGAGACCGAUAGCGAACAAGUACCGUGAGGGAAAGAUGAAAAGAACUUUGAAAAGAGAGUUAAACAGUACGUGAAAUUGUCAAAAGGGAAGCGUUUGACACCAGUGUUGUUUUUCCGAAAAUCAAUUACGAAUGGCUUGAUUUUGUGUUGUAUUGACCUUAUCAGCUUUCUUCACUCUUUUUCGAGUCUUUCUUAAUGCACUUUUCGGUUAACAAGUCAACAUCAAUUUCUUUUGUUGUAAAAGGGUAUUUGGAAGGUGGCUUUCUUUCCGGAGAAAGUGUUUAUAGCCUUAUACCUCUACAAUCGGAGAGAUUGAGGUCUGCAGCGUAGAUCCUUCGGGGCUAGAUACACUUGUGCUAAGUUAUAGCUUUUCAUAGACAACUUGUUGACUAUGUUUAGUCAUGUAGCUUACCCGCUUGUGCUAUUUUACCUACGCUUAGGAUGUUGAA